UGAAGAAGGUUUUCGGAUCGUAAAGCUCUGUUGUUGGUGAAGAAGGAUGUGAGUAGUAACUGGCUCAUAUUUGACGGUAAUCAACCAGAAAGUCACGGCUAACUACGUGCCAGCAGCCGCGGUAAUACGUAGGUGGCAAGCGUUGUCCGGAUUUAUUGGGCGUAAAGCGAGCGCAGGCGGAAUGAUAAGUCUGAUGUGAAAGCCCACGGCUCAACCGUGGAACUGCAUCGGAAACUGUCAUUCUUGAGUGCAGAAGAGGAGAGUGGAACUCCAUGUGUAGCGGUGGAAUGCGUAGAUAUAUGGAAGAACACCAGUGGCGAAGGCGGCUCUCUGGUCUGCAACUGACGCUGAGGCUCGAAAGCAUGGGUAGCGAACAGGAUUAGAUACCCUGGUAGUCCAUGCCGUAAACGAUGAGCGCUAGGUGUUGGGGACUUUCCGGUCCUCAGUGCCGCAGCAAACGCAUUAAGCGCUCCGCCUGGGGAGUACGACCGCAAGGUUGAAACUCAAAGGAAUUGACGGGGGCCCGCACAAGCGGUGGAGCAUGUGGUUUAAUUCGAAGCAACGCGAAGAACCUUACCAGGUCUUGACAUCCUGAGACCAUUAUAGAGAUAUAAUUUUCCCUUCGGGGACUCAGAGACAGGUGGUGCAUGGCUGUCGUCAGCUCGUGUCGUGAGAUGUUGGGUUAAGUCCCGCAACGAGCGCAACCCUUGUCUUUAGUUGCCAGCAUUAAGUUGGGCACUCUAGAGAGACUGCCGGUGACAAACCGGAGGAAGGUGGGGAUGACGUCAAGUCAUCAUGCCCCUUAUGACCUGGGCUACACACGUGCUACAAUGGGCAGUACAACGAGAAGCGAACCUGCGAAGGCAAGCGGAUCUCUUAAAGCUGUUCUCAGUUCGGACUGCAGGCUGCAACUCGCCUGCACGAAGCUGGAAUCGCUAGUAAUCGCGGAUCAGCACGCCGCGGUGAAUACGUUCCCGGGCCUUGUACACACCGCCCGUCACACCAUGGAAGUCUGCAAUGCCCAAAGUCGGUGGGAUAACCC
RNAcentral lists this ribosomal RNA (1042 nucleotides) under Lactobacillus equicursoris DSM 19284 = JCM 14600 = CIP 110162. It matches the Rfam family "Bacterial small subunit ribosomal RNA", at positions 406 to 1441 of the family's 1533-position model. Lineage: Bacteria; Bacillati; Bacillota; Bacilli; Lactobacillales; Lactobacillaceae. The record is from RNAcentral.